AACACAGAGCAUUGUCUUCCGUCCAUAGCGAUUUGGUCUUGUAGUUGAUGUCGAUGGUUCGCCUGGAGCUAAAUAUAUCCACUUUUCAUCGCCAGUCACAAUUCGGUGGAGAAGUGACUUUCUUUUGUAUCUGGCGAGCAGCAUUUCGCAAGUGGUUUUUCGGUUUUCCUGCUGUCUUUCAUUCAGUUCAUGUGGAACCCAUUUUCCCACCUUCUGGAUCUUUCCCAUGGCUUUCAAACGUAUGGAGACGGCUUCUCGUGUCACGUUUAAUUGAUCAGCGAGUUGUUAUUGCGUUUGAGCUUCAUGUGGAACCCAUUUUCCCACCUUCUGGAUCUUUCCCGUGGCUUUCAAAAGUAUGGAGACGGCUUCUCAUGUCACGUUUAAUUGAUCAGCGAGUUGUUGUUGCGUUUGAGCGUCAUCCUCAUCCAACAAUGCUUGCAAUUCGCUGUCUUGAAACUUUUUCGGUGGUUUC
Molecule: unclassified non-coding RNA, 472 nt
Filed under: Bombus terrestris (buff-tailed bumblebee)
Lineage: Eukaryota; Metazoa; Arthropoda; Insecta; Hymenoptera; Apidae
Description: misc RNA ENSBTSG00005036088.1
Source: RNAcentral